RNAcentral lists this unclassified non-coding RNA (208 nucleotides) under rhizosphere metagenome. RNAcentral's name for it is "partial ribosomal RNA internal transcribed spacer region". The record is from RNAcentral.
CAACUAGUCGUUCGUGGUCGGGCAACCGGUCCACGAUGUAAGCUCACUAGUCACCCUUGAAUAAACUACCUUUGUUGCUUUGGCGGGCCGCCGCAAGGCCAGCGGCUCCGGCUCUUGAGUGCCUGCCAGAGGACCACAACUCUUGUUUUUAGUGAUGUCUGAGUACUAUAUAAUAGUUAAAACUUUCAACAACGGAUCUCUUGGUUCU